Molecule: ribosomal RNA, 253 nt
Filed under: uncultured bacterium
Lineage: Bacteria
Description: partial 16S ribosomal RNA
Rfam family: Bacterial small subunit ribosomal RNA
Source: RNAcentral
UACGAAGGGGGCUAGCGUUGUUCGGAAUCACUGGGCGUAAAGCGCACGCAGGCGGAUCGUUAAGUCAGGGGUGAAAUCCCGGGGCUCAACCUCGGAACUGCCUUUGAUACUGCAAAUCUCGAGUCCGGAAGAGGUGAGUGGAAUUCCUAGUGUAGAGGUGAAAUUCGUAGAUAUUAGGAAGAACACCAGUGGCGAAGGCGGCUCACUGGUCCGGUACUGACGCUGAGGUGCGAAAGCGUGGGGAGCAAACAGG